RNAcentral lists this ribosomal RNA (468 nucleotides) under uncultured bacterium. RNAcentral describes it as "partial 16S ribosomal RNA". It matches the Rfam family "Bacterial small subunit ribosomal RNA", at positions 28 to 507 of the family's 1533-position model. The record is from RNAcentral.
GACGAACGCUGGCGGCGUGCUUAACACAUGCAAGUCGAACGGAAAGGCCCUGCUUUUGUGGGGUGCUCGAGUGGCGAACGGGUGAGUAACACGUGAGUAACCUGCCCUUGACUUUGGGAUAACUUCAGGAAACUGAGGCUAAUACCGGAUAGGAGCUCCUGCUGCAUGGUGGGGGUUGGAAAGUUUCGGCGGUUGGGGACGGACUCGCGGCUUAUCAGCUUGUUGGUGGGGUAGUGGCUUACCAAGGUUUUGACGGGUAGCCGGCCUGAGAGGGUGACCGGCCACAUUGGGACUGAGAUACGGCCCAGACUCCUACGGGAGGCAGCAGUGGGGAAUAUUGCACAAUGGGCGGAAGCCUGAUGCAGCAACGCCGCGUGCGGGAUGACGGCCUUCGGGUUGUAAACCGCUUUCGCCUGUGACGAAGCGUGAGUGACGGUAAUGGGAAAAGAAGCACCGGCUAACUACGUG